GAAGAUAUUGAAUGACCUGCGCCAUCACCUUCUUUCAAAAGCAUGUUCUCCGGCGAAACGCCCACAACCGCAAUAGAAUCAUCUCCGUUUACAGACUUAAUCUCUAAAUAUCUUGUUGUAGCUGUAUCAUCAACAUUAUCCUUGGACUCAUUUCCUAUUAGAGUGCACGCGGAAACUACCAUAUUUGUAUCUGAGACAUCUUCUUCGACCACCCACUAAAAAGGGGAAAAGGAGAGCAAAUCGGUCAUCAUUAUACUGGAAGCACAUG
This 268-nucleotide long non-coding RNA is filed under the name Ananas comosus (pineapple). RNAcentral's name for it is "long non-coding RNA (ACOM_LNC034648)". The record is from RNAcentral. Lineage: Eukaryota; Viridiplantae; Streptophyta; Magnoliopsida; Poales; Bromeliaceae.